AUUGACAAGUUCCCUCCAGAUGUUUCCAGCAAUAAGAAUCAGCAUAUUGUGCUCAGCCUCGGAGGCCUCGCAAUUGAAGAGUUGUAGCAAUAAUACAGAUAAUUAAUCUUUGGCGUCAGCAUCAGCGGAAUCUAAUCAGUUCUAUACGAAGUUCUUCUUUUGCCGUCACUUACAGCGUUCGGCUCAGUAAUGAUUUUCAGGCACCGAGAAGAUUGCUGCAUAUCCUGUAUAACAAACUAAGAAGCAGUGGAAGAGUCUGGACUGCGGCCAGAGGG
Molecule: long non-coding RNA, 275 nt
Organism: Bufo bufo (common toad)
Lineage: Eukaryota; Metazoa; Chordata; Amphibia; Anura; Bufonidae
Exons: 3
Source: RefSeq, a predicted model, not a curated record